UACGUAGGGUGCGAGCGUUAAUCGGAAUUACCGGGCGUAAAGCGUGCGCAGGCGGUUCGUUGUGUCGGCGGUGAAAGCCCCGGGCUUAACCUGGGAAUGGCCGUUGAAACUGGCGAACUGGAGUGUGGCAGAGGGGGGUGGAAUUCCGCGUGUAGCAGUGAAAUGCGUAGAGAUGCGGAAGAACACCGGUGGCGAAGGCGGCCCGCUGGGCUGUUGCUGACGCUGAGGCGCGACAGCGUGGGGAGCAAACAGG
RNAcentral lists this ribosomal RNA (253 nucleotides) under uncultured bacterium. RNAcentral's name for it is "partial 16S ribosomal RNA". It matches the Rfam family "Bacterial small subunit ribosomal RNA", at positions 524 to 776 of the family's 1533-position model. The record is from RNAcentral.